GAAUCUAUACAAGCGGUGGAACAUGUGGUUUAAUUCGAUAGUACGUGAUAAACCUUACCAGUUCUUGACAGUUUAAUUAGGCACUAAAUUGAGAAAUUUAGUUGUAGAUUAAUAACAGGUGUUGCAUGGCUGUCGUCAGCUCGUGUUGUGAAAUGUUUGGUUAAGUCCUUAAACGAGCGAAACCCACCUUUUUAGUUGCUAUUAUUAAAAAUUUUAAUAAGGACACUAAAAAAACGGUCUUUGAUAAGAAGAAGGAAGGUGUGGAAUGAUGUCAAGCACUCAUGGCCCUUAUGAACUGGGCUACACACGUGUUACAAUGGUAAAACAACGAGAAGCGAUAACGUGAGUUGGAGCAAA
Molecule: ribosomal RNA, 357 nt
Filed under: uncultured bacterium
Lineage: Bacteria
Description: bacterial SSU rRNA
Rfam family: Bacterial small subunit ribosomal RNA
Source: RNAcentral